GACAGAGGGUGCAAACGUUGUUCGGAAUUACUGGGCGUAAAGCGUGCGCAGGCGGCUUUGCAAGACAGAUGUGAAAUCCCCGGGCUUAACCUGGGAACUGCAUUUGUGACUGCAUGGCUGGAGUGCGGCAGAGGGGGAUGGAAUUCCGCGUGUAGCAGUGAAAUGCGUAGAUAUGCGGAGGAACACCGAUGGCGAAGGCAAUCCCCUGGGCCUGCACUGACGCUCAUGCACGAAAGCGUGGGGAGCAAACAGG
RNAcentral lists this ribosomal RNA (253 nucleotides) under uncultured bacterium. RNAcentral's name for it is "partial 16S ribosomal RNA". It matches the Rfam family "Bacterial small subunit ribosomal RNA", at positions 524 to 776 of the family's 1533-position model. The record is from RNAcentral.